GGAAGGGUGGCCGAGUGGUUUAAGGCGUCGGUCCCGAAAACCGAUUGGGGCGAAAGCUCCUCGUGAGUUCGAAUCUCACCCCUUCCGCCA
RNAcentral lists this transfer RNA (90 nucleotides) under Candidatus Harrisonbacteria bacterium RIFCSPHIGHO2_12_FULL_48_16. Its description in RNAcentral is "tRNA-Ser". It matches the Rfam family "tRNA". From Rfam's summary of the family: Transfer RNA (tRNA) molecules are approximately 80 nucleotides in length. Their secondary structure includes four short double-helical elements and three loops (D, anti-codon, and T loops). The record is from RNAcentral. RNAcentral also lists the same sequence under 1 other name. Lineage: Bacteria; Candidatus Harrisoniibacteriota.